This is a long non-coding RNA of Sinocyclocheilus anshuiensis, 175 nucleotides long. RefSeq lists it as uncharacterized. NCBI's taxonomy places the organism in Eukaryota, Metazoa, Chordata, Actinopteri, Cypriniformes, Cyprinidae. The transcript is spliced from 3 exons. The record is from RefSeq and is a predicted model, not a curated record.
AGUGGAAGAGUUCCGGAGAACAUCUGCGCUGUGUGUCGAUGCACCUUACGAGAGAAUAAGACCAGUAAGCAAGGCAACUGCAAUGAAGCAUCAAGAAAGACAUGAGCAGGCCAGCCACCCUGAGACUGAUAAUUCAUGGGAACAUAUUUCUGUCACUAACAAAGUGGAUGGUGAG